CCUACGGGAGGCAGCAGUGAGGAAUAUUGGUCAAUGGACGGAAGUCUGAACCAGCCAUGCCGCGUGCAGGAAGACGGCUCUAUGAGUUGUAAACUGCUUUUGUCCAAGGGUAAACCUGAAUACGUGUAUUCAGCUGAAAGUACUGUACGAAUAAGGAACGGCUAACUCCGUGCCAGCCGCCGCGGUAAUACGGAGGAUUCAAGCGUUAUCCGGAUUUGUUUGGUUUAAAGGGUGCGUAGGCGGAUGGAUAAGUUAGAGGUGAAAUGUCCGAGCUUAACUCGGGAACUGCCUCUAAUACUGGUGAUCUAGAGAGUGGAUGCGGUAGGCGGAAUGUGUGGUGUAGCGGUGAAAUGCUUAGAGAUCAUACAGAACGCCGAUUGCGAAGGCAGCUUACCAAUCUAUAUCUGACGUUGAGGCACGAAAGCGUGGGGAUCAAACAGGAUUAGAUACCCCAGUAGUC
Molecule: ribosomal RNA, 460 nt
Filed under: uncultured bacterium
Lineage: Bacteria
Description: partial 16S ribosomal RNA
Rfam family: Bacterial small subunit ribosomal RNA
Source: RNAcentral